GCAGUGCUAGUUCAGCAUUAGAAUUCUUGCCUUCCAUGCAGGAGAGCUGGAUUCGAUUCCCAGCCAAUACA
Molecule: transfer RNA, 71 nt
Filed under: Loxodonta africana (African savanna elephant)
Lineage: Eukaryota; Metazoa; Chordata; Mammalia; Proboscidea; Elephantidae
Rfam family: tRNA
About the family: Transfer RNA (tRNA) molecules are approximately 80 nucleotides in length. Their secondary structure includes four short double-helical elements and three loops (D, anti-codon, and T loops). Further hydrogen bonds mediate the characteristic L-shaped molecular structure. tRNAs have two regions of fundamental functional importance: the anti-codon, which is responsible for specific mRNA codon recognition, and the 3' end, to which the tRNAs corresponding amino acid is attached (by aminoacyl-tRNA synthetases). tRNAs cope with the degeneracy of the genetic code in two manners: having more than one tRNA (with a specific anti-codon) for a particular amino acid; and 'wobble' base-pairing, i.e. permitting non-standard base-pairing at the 3rd anti-codon position.
Source: Rfam by way of RNAcentral